Molecule: ribosomal RNA, 265 nt
Filed under: uncultured Oscillospiraceae bacterium
Lineage: Bacteria; Bacillati; Bacillota; Clostridia; Eubacteriales; Oscillospiraceae
Description: partial 16S ribosomal RNA
Rfam family: Bacterial small subunit ribosomal RNA
Source: RNAcentral
UCAAGUUGAACGGAUGACUUAGUGGCGGACGGGUGAGUAACGCGUGAGGAACCUGCCUUUCAGUGGGGGACAACAGUUGGAAACGACUGCUAAUACCGCAUAAUAUAUACGGACCGCAUGAUCUGUAUAUCAAAGAUUUAUCGCUGAAAGAUGGCCUCGCGUCUGAUUAGAUAGUUGGCGGGGUAACGGCUCACCAAGUCGACGAUCAGUAGCCGGACUGAGAGGUUGAACGGCCACAUUGGGACUGAGAUACGGCCCAGACUCC